This 399-nucleotide ribosomal RNA is filed under the name uncultured bacterium. RNAcentral's name for it is "bacterial SSU rRNA". It matches the Rfam family "Bacterial small subunit ribosomal RNA", at positions 30 to 431 of the family's 1533-position model. The record is from RNAcentral.
AUUGAACGCUGGCGGCAUGCCUUACACAUGCAAGUCGAACGGCAGCACGGGAGCAAUCCUGGUGGCGAGUGGCGAACGGGUGAGUAAUAUAUCGGAACGUGCCCAGUCGUGGGGAUAACGUAGCGAAAGCUACGCUAAUACCGCAUACGAUCUAUGGAUGAAAGCGGGGGAUCGCAAGACCUCGCGCGAUUGGAGCGGCCGAUAUCAGAUUAGGUAGUUGGUGAGGUAAAGGCUCACCAAGCCGACGAUCUGUAGCUGGUCUGAGAGGACGACCAGCCACACUGGGACUGAGACACGGCCCAGACUCCUACGGGAGGCAGCAGUGGGGGAAUUUUUGGACAAUGGGCGCAAGCCUGAUCCAGCAAUGCCGCGUGCAGGAUGAAGGCCUCGGUUGUAACU